ACGGGUGAGUAAUAUAUAGGUAAUGUGCCCUAGAGAAGAGGAUAACAGAUGGAAACGUCUGCUAAGACUCUAUAUGCCUUUAAGACAAAAGUCUGCAAGGGAAAUAUUUAUAGCUCUAGGAUCAGCCUGUACAGUAUCAGCUAGUUGGUGAGGUAAUGGCUCACCAAGGCAAUGACGCUUAACUGGUUUGAGAGGAUGAUCAGUCACACUGGAACUGAGACACGGUCCAGACUCC
RNAcentral lists this ribosomal RNA (235 nucleotides) under uncultured bacterium. Its description in RNAcentral is "partial 16S ribosomal RNA". It matches the Rfam family "Bacterial small subunit ribosomal RNA", at positions 102 to 339 of the family's 1533-position model. The record is from RNAcentral.